CGUUUCCGUGUUUGGUACUCCAUCUCAACAAAGGGCUUCCUCUUCUUCCUACCAUUUUCUCUCUUCAGUCUCUCUCUGUUUUCAGCUUUAAGUUUGAAAAACAACGUUGUCGGAAAAUCUAAGGCGGUGCCUUAAGUGUUGGGUAAACAAUCAGAAAGGAGAAGACAAAUUAUGAAAGGAGUUUGCUUCUUUCUUGAGUGUCUGUCUAUUUUUGGUUGUUUGUUUGCUGCGUCUUGUAAAACGAGACACCACAGGGCACACACAAUACGUAAUAUCACGUGUGGUGUAUUUGUAUUAUGUAUUUGAUAUGCGUAUUUACGAAUACGUAUAUGUGUCUUGGGUCAGGUGUGUGUGGGAUAUAACAGGGUCCACGUGACAUACGGCUGCAUUGUACUCUUGUUACAUAUGUUACAUGUGUAUUUCCCUAUAAAAAUAUAAAGCUUUGUCAAUAAUAUAUAUAGA
Molecule: long non-coding RNA, 462 nt
Organism: Capsella rubella
Lineage: Eukaryota; Viridiplantae; Streptophyta; Magnoliopsida; Brassicales; Brassicaceae
Exons: 2
Source: RefSeq, a predicted model, not a curated record